GCAAGAUAAAUACCUAAAAAUUAUUAGCUUGCUUCUGUCCCAGCAACCUGCUUCAUUCUUUCCUUGGUCUAAAACAGUCUGUUAUAAUUGAGAAGUGUAAUCGCAGCCUCCUUCCUUAAGAAAAGAUUGUGGUUUUGUCUUCUUCCUUCCUCUGGAAAGUUUAUCACACAAUACAACCCACAGAGAAGUUGGGAGGGCUGAGGAAGCAACUCCACUUAAAAUUCAUCUUAAAGGAACCAUCUACAGUGGAAUUGAGUGAAGCUUACGCCAAAAGCAAAGAAAGCAACUUUGUCCCCCUAAAAUGUGCUUUGAGCUUCAUCGGUUCCUUAAAUCUCAAGAUGGGAGAAGUUGCUUCUGGUGGUUGGUUCAGCGUCAUCAGGCAGCUAGAAUGCAACGAGACGACUGCAUUGCUUCAUCACCCUUUCGUGAACAUCGUCAUCACGCAGGAGGAGGACAUUCUGACUCAAACACCUUUGCUGUCAUUGCAAAUGCAAUUUACAGUUCAGAAAUGUAUCCAAUCGGGAUGACGCAGAAGAAAGGAGAGCAAAAUUUGAAAUUCCAAAUUUAAAUGGAAUCACCAUCUGGUUUAUCUUUUAUAAUUAAUGACUCCAUGUACCGUCACUGAUAGUUUCAAAAUUCUAAAUCCCAAAUCUGAG
RNAcentral lists this long non-coding RNA (656 nucleotides) under Rhinopithecus bieti (black snub-nosed monkey). RNAcentral describes it as "lncRNA (ENSRBIG00000045277.1)". The record is from RNAcentral. Lineage: Eukaryota; Metazoa; Chordata; Mammalia; Primates; Cercopithecidae.